GGAAUAUUGGUCAAUGGGCGCGAGCCUGAACCAGCCAAGUCGCGUGAGGGAUGACGGCCCUACGGGUUGUAAACCUCUUUUGUCGGGGAGCAAAUUCCGCCACGUGUGGCGGAGUCGAGAGUACCCGAAGAAAAAGCAUCGGCUAACUCCUUGCCAGCAGCCGCGGUAAUACGGAGGAUGCGAGCGUUAUCCGGAUUUAUUGGGUUUAAAGGGUGCGUAGGCGGACUGUCAAGUCAGCGGUAAAAUUGCGGGGCUCAACCUCGUCGAGCCGUUGAAACUGGGUGCCUUGAGUGGGCGAGAAGUACGCGGAAUGCGUGGUGCAGCGGUGAAAUGCAUAGAUAUCACGCAGAACUCCGAUUGCGAAGGCAGCGUACCGGCGCCCAACUGACGCUGAAGCACGAAGGCGUGGGUAUCGAA
Molecule: ribosomal RNA, 417 nt
Filed under: uncultured bacterium
Lineage: Bacteria
Description: bacterial SSU rRNA
Rfam family: Bacterial small subunit ribosomal RNA
Source: RNAcentral